UACAGAGGGUGCGAGCGUUGUCCGGAAUCACUGGGCGUAAAGGGCGCGUAGGCGGCCUGAUAAGUCGGGGGUGAAAUCCUGUGGCUUAACCACAGGGCUGCCUCCGAGACUGUCGGGCUCGAGCACAGUAGAGGCAGGUGGAAUUUCCGGUGUAGCGGUGAAAUGCGUAGAUAUCGGAAGGAACAUCAGUGGCGAAAGCGACUUCCUGGACCAGUACCGACGUUCAGGCACGAAAGCGUGGGGAGCAAACAGG
This 253-nucleotide ribosomal RNA is filed under the name uncultured bacterium. RNAcentral's name for it is "partial 16S ribosomal RNA". It matches the Rfam family "Bacterial small subunit ribosomal RNA", at positions 524 to 776 of the family's 1533-position model. The record is from RNAcentral.